CCCUUAGAUGUCCUGGGCCGCACGCGUGCUACACUGACGCCUACAGCGAGUACUUCCCAGCCCCGAGAGGCGGCUGGUAAUCAGCAAUAGGCGUCGUGAUGGGGAUAGAUCUUUGGAAUUAUGGAUCUUGAACGAGGAAUGCCUAGUAAGCGCAGGUCAUUAGCCUGCGCUGAUUACGUCCCUGCCCUUUGUACACACCGCCCGUCGCUACUACCGAUUUCGAGUGGUUCGGUGAACCUUUCGGACCGGCAAUGCCUCGUGUUGCGCCGGAAAGUCAAGUAAACCAUAUCACUUAGAGGAAGGAGAAGUCGUAACA
This 316-nucleotide ribosomal RNA is filed under the name uncultured eukaryote. RNAcentral describes it as "partial 18S ribosomal RNA". It matches the Rfam family "Eukaryotic small subunit ribosomal RNA", at positions 1470 to 1796 of the family's 1831-position model. The record is from RNAcentral.